Molecule: ribosomal RNA, 470 nt
Filed under: uncultured bacterium
Lineage: Bacteria
Description: bacterial SSU rRNA
Rfam family: Bacterial small subunit ribosomal RNA
Source: RNAcentral
ACUCCUACGGGAGGCAGCAGUGGGGAAUAUUGCGCAAUGGGCGAAAGCCUGACGCAGCCAUGCCGCGUGUGUGAAGAAGGCCUUAGGGUUGUAAAGCACUUUCAAUUGGGAAGAAAAGCUAAACGUUAAUAGCGUUUAGCCCUGACAUUACCUUUAGAAGAAGCACCGGCUAACUCCGUGCCAGCAGCCGCGGUAAUACGGAGGGUGCGAGCGUUAAUCGGAAUUACUGGGCGUAAAGCGCGCGUAGGCGGUUUGUUAAGUCAGCUGUGAAAGCCCGGCUCAACCUGGGAACUGCAGUUGAUACUGGCCGACUAGAGUAUGAAAGAGGGAGGUAGAAUUCCAUGUGUAGCGGUGAAAUGCGUAGAUAUAUGGAGGAAUACCAGUGGCGAAGGCGGCCUCCUGGUUCAAUACUGACGCUGAGGUGCGAAAGCGUGGGGAUCAAACAGGAUUAGAUACCCUUGUAGGCUCUG